RNAcentral lists this ribosomal RNA (497 nucleotides) under uncultured bacterium. Its description in RNAcentral is "partial 16S ribosomal RNA". It matches the Rfam family "Bacterial small subunit ribosomal RNA", at positions 28 to 507 of the family's 1533-position model. The record is from RNAcentral.
GAUGAACGCUGGCGGCGUGCCUAAUACAUGCAAGUCGAGCGAAGAGGCGAGGAGCUUGCUCCUCUGACGGUAGCGGCGGACGAGUGGGUAACACGUGGAUAACCUCCCUCUCACACUUGGAUAACUUCGGGAAACCGGAGCUAAUACCGGAGAAUAUAUUGAACCGCAUGGUUCAAUAGUGAAGGACGGUUUUUCUUUCACUUAUGGAUGGAUCCGCGCCGCAUUAGCUGGUUGGUGGGGUGACGGCUUACCAAGGCGGCGAUGCGUAGCCGACCUGAGAGGGGGGUCGGCGACCAUGGGGGUGCGGAGCCGCGCCACAGCCUCCGGGGGGCGGCAGUAGGGGAUAUUACGGAACGGGGGGAGGACGGCCGGAGCAGCGCCGCCGGGGGGGUGAAGGUCUUCGGAGCGUUAAAAUCCUUUUUUGGGGGAGAAGAAAGGUGGAAUUGACUGUGGACGGGUUGACGGUAGCUGAAUAGGAAGCCCCGGCUAACUACGUG